GAGCUGUGACGAAUACUGCGCCCCCAUGUGGUCAAAAGGGUCUCCGCACUUGUCCGAAUUUCAGGAUGAUACAACAGCGCAUCUGAGCUC
This is a non-coding RNA of Nicotiana attenuata, 90 nucleotides long. The record is from Rfam. NCBI's taxonomy places the organism in Eukaryota, Viridiplantae, Streptophyta, Magnoliopsida, Solanales, Solanaceae.